Molecule: long non-coding RNA, 433 nt
Organism: Hemicordylus capensis (graceful crag lizard)
Lineage: Eukaryota; Metazoa; Chordata; Lepidosauria; Squamata; Cordylidae
Exons: 2
Source: RefSeq, a predicted model, not a curated record
AGUAACGGGACGGGACCAUUUCCGGCGCUUUCCAUUGCCGCCACACCGGAACUGACGAUACUCCCUAAGCGGCGCACGCGCAAGAUGAUAGAACGGGACUGAUGCUGAUCGCAUAGAUUUGUUUUGAGUAGACUCACACAGAAAACACACCUCCGGGGUUACUUUGAGCGCCCCGCCACCGCCACCGCCCUUCCCGGGACUGAAGUACUGACUGCCCAUCGAAAACAAUAGAUAAAUCAAAGAUGCUGGUGUAAAAGUAUUUCAGAAGCAAGGCGGUAACUGCAGUUACGGAUUCUGAACAGAAGAGUGCAUGAGUUAGCUUUUCAUUGACAACAUGAAACUAUGAGCAAACAUUGGAUUUAGGAAUAGGCAAAAUUCAGAGGAUGAAUUUGAGGCCCAGUUUUUGUGCCACAAUAAAUUUGUCUUUACAGCU